UACAGAGGCUACGAGCGUUGUUCGGAAUUACUGGGCGUAAAGGGCGCGUAGGCGGUCUUCUAAGUCAGAUGUGAAAGCCUGGGGCUUAACCCCAGAAGUGCAUUUGAAACUGGAAGGCUAGAGUGCAGUAGAGAAUGGCGGAAUUCCCAGUGGAGAGGUGAAAUUCGUAGAUAUUGGGAGGAACACCGGUGGCGAAGGCGGCCAUUUGGGCUGUAACUGACGCUGAGGCGCGAAAGCGUGGGUAGCAAACAGGAUUAGAUACCCUGGUAGUCCACGCUGUAAACUAUGGAUACUCGCUGUGGCUGGUAUUGACCCCGGCCGUAGCCAAGUUAACACGUUAAGUAUCCCGCCUGGGGAGUACGGUCGCAAGAUUA
Molecule: ribosomal RNA, 374 nt
Filed under: uncultured prokaryote
Description: bacterial SSU rRNA
Rfam family: Bacterial small subunit ribosomal RNA
Source: RNAcentral